GCCGAAAUAGCACAACUGGUAGUGCAACUGAUUUGUAAUCAGUAGGUUGUUGGUUCAAGUCCAAUUUUCGGCACCA
Molecule: transfer RNA, 76 nt
Filed under: Thiomicrorhabdus arctica
Lineage: Bacteria; Pseudomonadati; Pseudomonadota; Gammaproteobacteria; Thiotrichales; Piscirickettsiaceae
Also listed under: 2 other names
Rfam family: tRNA
About the family: Transfer RNA (tRNA) molecules are approximately 80 nucleotides in length.
Source: RNAcentral